Molecule: ribosomal RNA, 542 nt
Filed under: uncultured bacterium
Lineage: Bacteria
Description: bacterial SSU rRNA
Rfam family: Bacterial small subunit ribosomal RNA
Source: RNAcentral
AAUAGAUACCCCGGUAGUCCACGCCGUAAACGAUGGAUACUAGCUGUUGGAGGUAUCGACCCCUUCAGUAGCGAAGCUAACGCGUUAAGUAUCCCGCCUGUGGAGUACGGUCGCAAGACUAAAACAUAAAGGAAUUGACGGGGACCCGCACAAGCGGUGGAUCGUGUUCUUUAAUUCGAUGCUAAACGGAGAACCUUACCAGGGUUUGACAUCCUUGGAAUUUCUGCGAAAGUAGAAAGUGCUUUAUUGAACCAAGUGACAGGUGAUGCAUGGCCGUCGUCAGCUCGUGUCGUGAGAUGUUUGGUUAAGUCCAUCAACGAGCGCAACCCUUGUGAAUAGUUGGAUUUUUCUAUUCAGACUGCCCCGGUAACGGGGAGGAAGGAGGGGAUGGAUGGUCAGGUCAGUAUUUCCCUUACAUCCUGGGCUAGAAACACGAUACAAUGGCUAGUACAAUGCGGAGCGAAGUCGCGAGAUGGAGCAAAUCGCAUCAAAGCUAGUCCCAGUUCGGAUUGGAGGCUGAAACUCGCCUCCAUGAAGUCGGU